CCAUUUGAAAAAACUUGACUAAUGAGAACUAGGGUUUCCUAGCCCUCACUCUUCUCUUUUGCAACCGCUACUUCUCCUCCUCUCGAUCCAAAUCCGAAUAUUCCUCCUCCGUCUCGAGUCUUCUUCACUACUCGGAAAACCCUAGUAGCCGCUAUCUCCACCCAGAAACCUCCUUCUUUCUCUCAAUCUAAGAUCUCAUCAACGAACUUAGCAGUCCUCUCCAAUCUUUGACAAUACGACAUUGUCAUGACCAGCUCGACUGCUCUCUUUUCCGGCAAACCUUGUUUGCACAACGAGGAGGUAUGCUGACGAUCUCCCACUUCCUCUCUCAGUUGCCUUCUCAAUCUAAUUCUUAUCACAAAUCCGCUCGAAUAUAGCUUUCUCACCUCCUAAUCAUUCAAUUCCAGCAACUGAUACGCGAAAAGCAGAAGCCAGCAGGAUCGACGAAGGAAAAGAGGAGAUGGAGGGGUUCAAAUCCAGUUUCAUUCAAGUUUACAAGGAGAAACGAACAGGUACGAUACAAACUCGUAUUUAUCCUUCUGCCUAGUUUCUGAUUGUGCAUCCUCUAAUCUCGCUUAUGCUUGUGAUUGGGAGUUUUUUGAUGGGGAUAACUACGGGUUAAUAUCAGUGGGAGUGACCAUCAUCGAAAAGGGGAUCUAGAGGUGAUGGUUCGGGUAAGAGAAGGUGUGGACGAUAAGGGUUCCUUCGGCUACGGACUCGGACGAGAAAUCAACGGAGGUAAGAGCUUAGCCUAUUUCAAUUCGUUUUUUCUCUAGUCUAGACCCAUGUUCUAAUUUGAUCUUGAAACGUGAUUGAUGACAGCAACGUUUCAGAGGUGGACGAUUUGACUGUUGGGAGUUUUAAUAGAUUGUAUAAGAUUGGAGAGUGAAUCAUCUGUUUGUUAUUGAUCUUAUGUUUAUAUACAAGUGAACUUAACUGAAGUCCAUACAAAACGGGAGUUAUCCAAGCAACUAACUGUACAUGGAGAGAAUAGGAUAGUAGACUAAUAUUUUUGAUUGUUACCCCCUGCAAGCUCAAGAGCGGGUCAGACUUGAAGUGGUCCGUAGAAAUUAUAGUCCAUCCUUGGAGAGAGGCUUGAUGAAUAUAUUCGCCAGCUGAUCUUGGAUAGAUAUGUAAGUGAUCUUGAGAGUGCAAGAGUCGAUUUGUUCCCGAAUAAAAUGAAAAUCGAGUGCCACAAGUUUAGAUCGAGUCGAAAUCAUCGAAUUCUUGCUUAGAAAUAUAGCUCCGACAUUAUCACAUAGGAGCAGUGGUGGAUGUGGAAAUGGCUGGCCGAGUUCCGAGUAUAAUUAUUGUAACCAGAUGAGUUCAGCUGGCAUGUAGGCUAGAGCUCGGUAUUCGGUUUCGAUACUGGAUCGAGCCACUACCUUCUGCUUCCUGAAACUCCAACUAAUCAGGUUCGUGCCAUGAAAAAUGGAAUACCCAUAUUGAGAUUGACUGUCAUCCGGGUCCGAAACCCA
Molecule: long non-coding RNA, 1478 nt
Filed under: Linum usitatissimum (flax)
Lineage: Eukaryota; Viridiplantae; Streptophyta; Magnoliopsida; Malpighiales; Linaceae
Description: long non-coding RNA (LUSI_LNC003770)
Source: RNAcentral